Molecule: ribosomal RNA, 465 nt
Filed under: uncultured bacterium
Lineage: Bacteria
Description: partial 16S ribosomal RNA
Rfam family: Bacterial small subunit ribosomal RNA
Source: RNAcentral
GACGAACGCUGGCGGCGUGCUUAACACAUGCAAGUCGAACGGAAAGGCCCUGCUUGCAGGGUACUCGAGUGGCGAACGGGUGAGUAACACGUGGGUGAUCUGCCCUGCACUUCGGGAUAAGCCUGGGAAACUGGGUCUAAUACCGGAUAGGAGCCAUUUUUAGUGUGAUGGUUGGAAAGUUUUUUCGGUGUAGGAUGAGCUCGCGGCCUAACAGCUUGUUGGUGGGGUAAUGGCCUACCAAGGCGGCGACGGGUAGCCGGCCUGAGAGGGUGGACGGCCACAUUGGGACUGAGAUACGGCCCAGACUCCUACGGGAGGCAGCAGUGGGGAAUAUUGCACAAUGGGCGCAAGCCUGAUGCAGCGACGCCGCGUGGGGGAUGACGGCCUUCGGGUUGUAAACUCCUUUCGCUAGGGACGAAGCUUUUUGUGACGGUACCUAGAUAAGAAGCACCGGCUAACUACGUG